Long non-coding RNA from Drosophila yakuba, 615 nucleotides. RefSeq lists it as uncharacterized. The transcript is spliced from 2 exons. The record is from RefSeq and is a predicted model, not a curated record. NCBI's taxonomy places the organism in Eukaryota, Metazoa, Arthropoda, Insecta, Diptera, Drosophilidae.
GGACCAAGCUGCAAUUAUAUGCGCCAAUUGUCAGUUUGGUUACUGCUCGUUAACUUAUUUGAUUAUGGGCUAAUUUUGACAGUUAAAGAAAAUUGGGGGACCAAACAAAGGUUGUCUGCGGGCUUGUGUUAAAGUCAAAAUUAUAUUAAAAACCAAAAUCAAGUAGGUAGUAAUUUCUAAAAGUUAAUAAAGAUUAAAAAAUAUUUAAUAAUUUGGAUUUAAGUUUUUAGGAAUACAAUCCGUUUUCAAAGCGAUCCAAGCUGAACUUGGCCACAACUCGCUUAUCGACUGGGGACAAGGAUCAGAAACAGGACGAGUACCAAAACCAAAACCAGGACCAGAACGAAGACGAUUUGAUGAAGUGCACGCCAUGUGCACAAAUGCACACAUGUGGCUCAUUGACAGACUGGGAAAAGGAUACAUAGAUGGAUGAGUGGGGCUCUGGACUGGGAAAAUGGUCAGGGCUCCAACGAAAACUAUGCAAAUAAGGAAGGAUACGUCUGACAAGUCGGGAGUCGGGAGUCGACGUCUCAGUCCGCUCGGCUCAGGUUUCCCUUCAUUUAUCUUGGCUUAUUAAAUUGAAUAUAUGGCUGAAAAUAUACACACAGUCGGGUA